UGAAUCCUGUGUCUGCUGUUUCGGCACCGGAAAGUUGUAAAGUGUGUAAAAUAAGCUAAAACACUAUAAGUACACCAUCAUAAAGUGAAAUAUAUCAAUGAAUAGAGACAAAUUAUGAUACAAAAUAGUGAUGCAUUUUGGAUGUAUCAGAGCGCAAAGAGGGGCCACAUACAUACCCUAGUGUGGUGACGGAUCCGCUACGGCAACGACGGCAUCAUAGAUUACCGUCGACGGUGAAGACUUUGGUGGAGAGGGCGAACGGGAGAAAAUCAAUGAAGUCCUGGUGACGAGGACACGACAGCAAGGAGGUGUGAGAGGCGAGGUUUGAAGAAGAUAUUUCAAACGUCGGGUCCGCCGACAAUAUAUACCCCCUAUCUGACGGUGACACCGAGUUGAAAUUUUUGGUGCCACCGAGUUCCA
RNAcentral lists this long non-coding RNA (420 nucleotides) under Hordeum vulgare. RNAcentral's name for it is "long non-coding RNA (HVUL_LNC019981)". The record is from RNAcentral. Lineage: Eukaryota; Viridiplantae; Streptophyta; Magnoliopsida; Poales; Poaceae.